GAUGAACGCUGGCGGCGUGCCUAACACAUGCAAGUCGAGCGAACGGACGAGAAGCUUGCUUCUUUGAUGUUAGCGGCGGACGGGUGAGUAACACGUGUAUAACCUACCUAUAAGACUGGGAUAACCUCGGGAAACCGGAGCUAAUACCGGAUAAUAUUUUGAUCCGCAUGGUUCAAAAGUGAAAGACGGUCUUGCUGUCACUUAUAGAUGGAUCCGCGCUGCAUUAGCUAGUUGGUAAGGUAACGGCUUAUCAAGGCAACGAUGCAUAGCCGAACUGAGAGGGUGAUCGGCGACACGAGAGCUGAGCCGCCGACCUGAGGACUGCGGGAGGCAGCAGUCGGGAAUCGUCCGCAGUGGGCGGGAGCCUGACGGAGCGACGGCGCGUGAGUGAUGACAGUCUUCGGAGCGUAAAGCUCUGUUAUUAGGGGAGAACAGAUGUGUAAGUUGCUGUACACAGCUUGACGGUAACGAGUCAGGAAGCCACGGCUAACUACGUG
Molecule: ribosomal RNA, 497 nt
Filed under: uncultured bacterium
Lineage: Bacteria
Description: partial 16S ribosomal RNA
Rfam family: Bacterial small subunit ribosomal RNA
Source: RNAcentral